AAUAUUUUAAAAAAUGCAUUAAUAACAAACAUGAAAAUUAAUAAUAAAGUGAUAAAAAAUUGUAUUUUUGUGAUUUUUUAUGAUUUAAAGAUAAAAUAGAAAAUUUAGAAGUAAAGAAAAACAAAUAAAAGGAAAAAGACACUAAAAAUGAGAAGGUGGGAUUUGAAUUCAUGACUUUGCCCUCUGUAACUCCAUGUACUCCUUUUGAAACCAACUAGGUUUUUCCAA
This 228-nucleotide long non-coding RNA is filed under the name Lathyrus oleraceus (garden pea). RNAcentral's name for it is "Pisum sativum (pea) long non-coding RNA (PSAT_LNC013324)". Lineage: Eukaryota; Viridiplantae; Streptophyta; Magnoliopsida; Fabales; Fabaceae. The record is from RNAcentral.